This 1061-nucleotide non-coding RNA is filed under the name Cryptosporidium parvum. Lineage: Eukaryota; Apicomplexa; Conoidasida; Eucoccidiorida; Cryptosporidiidae. The record is from RNAcentral.
AUAAUGUUGUCCAUUUUCCCAAUACCAUCCAGCAAUCCAGAUAAUGCCUUUCCUGACUUUACACCUGCUCCUACAAUACCUGUGUAUACCCCUCCAUCCGAAGGUUUGUAUUGAAUCAUUGAGCUAAUAAGGGCGCCAACUCCGCUACCUUUAAGAAGUUCUAUCACACCCUGUGAAUCAGGAGAAGGAAGUCCCCAUUUUGCUGAUGCUGUAAGAGCAAUUCUAGUUGAAGCGCAUACAAAUGGCUCAAGAUCGAUCACAUAAGGCAACUUUGUUACUACGUUACCCCCAUCAUCUAAAAAUGAAAUGCAUGCAAGUCUUUCAUUACCAGAUUCUUCUACAUCAGGUUUUGCUCCUUUAAUCUUUGCUAAAAUAUCAUCUGGAGGAAGUUGUUGAUCGAUACCUACUAUCUGAGUCUGAGUUACUUUAACUUGUUUAGCCUCCUCCUUAUCUUUAUUUCUUUGUCUAACUAAAGGAAUCAAUGCAUUUGGAAUCCAUAUUGAUUCUUUGAAAUAAGCCUUCAUUUCUUCCUUACCUGCAUAAUCUACUAAUGGCAAAUAAAAUGGUAAACCUGUACUCUCAUCUUUUUCUAUUUGAGUUAACAACUUCCCUUCUGGAGUUAUACAAGGUUCUGGAAUCUCCCAUUUCUCCAAAACUGUCUGAGCUUCUUCAUUUAUCAUCAUUGUCACUGACUGCUCUCCCAUAACUGGGAAUCCUCUUGUUAACUUUGGAAUGUUUAUUAUAGGUAACUUCUUUCUUUCUGUCUUACUAAAUGGAGGAAGAGAAAGCAUUGUAGAAACUCCUAGAUAGUCUGGACCUGUAAUUCUUACUUUCAAGUGAGGUAAAAUUGCUGUUGAACUCACUGUCAUACUCUGAAAUGACUCUCCAUGUAGUGCUCUGAUUCUUGAAGUGCAUAAAAGUUGUUGAGUUUGGUUAUUUGAAAAUGGGGUACUUCUAUUUAACCCUCUCAAAUUCUUUGGAUCAAAUAAAAAAGUCUCCAAUUGUCGAUACCUUAAUUGAUCAAUACUUGGACAAAUUGGACUUGCUAAUAAUGGUGAUUC